Non-coding RNA from Atractiella rhizophila, 79 nucleotides. The record is from the annotation of a GenBank genome assembly. Lineage: Eukaryota; Fungi; Basidiomycota; Atractiellomycetes; Atractiellales; Hoehnelomycetaceae.
GGCAAGAUAGCCAAGCGGUCAAAGGCGUGGGACUCAAGUUCUCAUCUUCGGUUCGUGGGUUCGAAUCCCACUCUUGUCA